Molecule: unclassified non-coding RNA, 339 nt
Filed under: soil metagenome
Description: partial contains 5.8S ribosomal RNA, internal transcribed spacer 2, and large subunit ribosomal RNA
Rfam family: 5.8S ribosomal RNA (bases 1-120)
Source: RNAcentral
GAUGAAGAACGCAGCUAAAUGCGAUAAGUAAUGUGAAUUGCAGAAUUCAGUGAAUCAUCGAAUCUUUGAACGCACAUUGCGCCCGCCAGUAUUCUGGCGGGCAUGCCUGUCCGAGCGUCAUUUCAACCAUCAAGCCCCCGGGCUUGUGUUGGGGACCUGCGGCUGCCCGCAGGCCCUGAAAACCAGUGGCGGGCUCGCUGUCACACCGAGCGUAGUAGCAAUCACCUCGCUCAGGGCGUGCUGCGGGUUCCGGCCGUUAAACAGCCUUACAAAACCCAAGGUUGACCUCGGAUCAGGUAGGAAGACCCGCUGAACUUAAGCAUAUCAAUAAGCGGAGGA